This 551-nucleotide ribosomal RNA is filed under the name uncultured Pseudomonas sp. Its description in RNAcentral is "bacterial SSU rRNA". It matches the Rfam family "Bacterial small subunit ribosomal RNA", at positions 198 to 730 of the family's 1533-position model. Lineage: Bacteria; Pseudomonadati; Pseudomonadota; Gammaproteobacteria; Pseudomonadales; Pseudomonadaceae. The record is from RNAcentral.
GGGAGAAAGCAGGGGACCUUCGGGCCUUGCGCUAUCAGAUGAGCCUAGGUCGGAUUAGCUAGUUGGUGGGGUAAUGGCUCACCAAGGCGACGAUCCGUAACUGGUCUGAGAGGAUGAUCAGUCACACUGGAACUGAGACACGGUCCAGACUCCUACGGGAGGCAGCAGUGGGGAAUAUUGGACAAUGGGCGAAAGCCUGAUCCAGCCAUGCCGCGUGUGUGAAGAAGGUCCUCGGAUUGUAAAGCACUUUAAGUUGGGAGGAAGGGCAGUAAAUUAAUACUUUGCUGUUUUGACGUUACCGACAGAAUAAGCACCGGCUAACUCUGUGCCAGCAGCCGCGGUAAUACAGAGGGUGCAAGCGUUAAUCGGGAUUACUGGGCGUAAAGCGCGCGUAGGUGGUUCGUUAAGUUGGACGUGAAAUCCCCGGGCUCAACCUGGGAACUGCAUUCAAAACUGACGAGCUAGAGUAUGGUAGAGGGUGGUGGAAUUUCCUGUGUAGCGGUGAAAUGCGUAGAUAUAGGAAGGAACACCAGUGGCGAAGGCGACCACCU